Molecule: ribosomal RNA, 474 nt
Filed under: uncultured organism
Description: partial 16S ribosomal RNA
Rfam family: Bacterial small subunit ribosomal RNA
Source: RNAcentral
UACACUCCUACGGGAGGCAGCAGUGGGGAAUUUUGGACAAUGGGCGAAAGCCUGAUCCAGCAAUGCCGCGUGAGUGAAGAAGGCCUUCGGGUUGUAAAGCUCUUUUGUCAGGGAAGAAACGGUGAAAGCUAAUAUCUUUUGCUAAUGACGGUACCUGAAGAAUAAGCACCGGCUAACUACGUGCCAGCAGCCGCGGUAAUACGUAGGGUGCAAGCGUUAAUCGGAAUUACUGGGCGUAAAGCGUGCGCAGGCGGUUUUGCAAGUCUGAUGUGAAAUCCCCGGGCUCAACCUGGGAAUUGCAUUGGAGACUGCAAGGCUAGAAUCUGGCAGAGGGGGGUAGAAUUCCACGUGUAGCAGUGAAAUGCGUAGAUAUGUGGAGGAACACCGAUGGCGAAGGCAGCCCCCUGGGUCAAGAUUGACGCUCAUGCACGAAAGCGUGGGGAGCAAACAGGAUUAGAAACCCCUGUAGUCCCA